GAGGAAAGUCCGGGCUCCACAGGGCAGGAUGACGGAUAACGUCCGCCCGGGGUGACCCGCGGGAAAGCGCAACAGAGAACAGACCGCUGAGAAGAGCAGCCAGGCUGCGCGGAUCAGUAAGGGUGAAACGGCAGUGUAAGAGACUACCGCGUCUUUGGUAACAAAGACGGCAUGGCAAGCCCCAUCCGGAGCAAGAUCAAGCAGGAAACCAAAGGUUUGCCCGACCUGUUUCCAGGUAGAUCGCUCGAGCCGUGUGGUAACAUACGGCCUAGACAGAUCAUCAUCAUCACUAUGUGAUACAUAACCCGGCUUACAGGCUCGCUC
RNAcentral lists this RNase P RNA (324 nucleotides) under bovine gut metagenome. RNAcentral's name for it is "Bacterial RNase P class A". It matches the Rfam family "Bacterial RNase P class A", at positions 43 to 362 of the family's 367-position model. Rfam says of the family: Ribonuclease P (RNase P) is a ubiquitous endoribonuclease, found in archaea, bacteria and eukarya as well as chloroplasts and mitochondria. Its best characterised activity is the generation of mature 5'-ends of tRNAs by cleaving the 5'-leader elements of precursor-tRNAs. Cellular RNase Ps are ribonucleoproteins. The record is from RNAcentral.